GAUGAACGCUGGCGGCGUGCCUAAUACAUGCAAGUCGAGCGAACGGACGAGAAGCUUGCCUCUCUGAUGUUAGCGGCGGACGGGUGAGUAACACGUGGAUAACCUACCUAUAAGACUGGGAUAACUUCGGGAAACCGGAGCUAAUACCGGAUAAUAUUUUGAACCGCAUGGUUCAAAAGUGAAAGACGGUCCUGCUGUCACUUAUAGAUGGAUCCGCGCUGCAUUAGCUAGUUGGUAAGGUAACGGCUUACCAAGGCAACGAUGCAUAGCCGACCUGAGAGGGUGAUCGGCCACACUGGAACUGAGACACGGUCCAGACUCCUACGGGAGGCAGCAGUAGGGAAUCUUCCGCAAUGGGCGAAAGCCUGACGGAGCAACGCCGCGUGAGUGAUGAAGGUCUUCGGAUCGUAAAACUCUGUUAUUAGGGAAGAACAUAUGUGUAAGUAACUGUGCACAUCUUGACGGUACCUAAUCAGAAAGCCACGGCUAACUACGUG
Molecule: ribosomal RNA, 497 nt
Filed under: uncultured bacterium
Lineage: Bacteria
Description: partial 16S ribosomal RNA
Rfam family: Bacterial small subunit ribosomal RNA
Source: RNAcentral